UUGUGGAGGAGGACGCCGAAGGUGGGGCUAAUGACUGGGGUGAAGUCGUAACAAGGUAGCCGUACCCGGAAGGUGCGGCUGGAUCACCUCCUAACAGGGAGACAACAAAAUGUUUAAUAUUAUUAUUUUGUCACCUUAGGUCGAUCGGUAUCUCACGUUUUUAAUUUAUUAAGAAUUUCAUUUCCUAAGUUUUUCUAGGUCACACCCAUUAUUUUUCCUGGGCCAUUAGCUCAGGUGGUUAGAGCGCACCCCUGAUAAGGGUGAGGUCCCUGGUUCAAGUCCAGGAUGGCCCAUAUCUCUAUGUUGGGGGUAUAGCUCAGUUGGUAGAGCGCCUGCUUUGCAAGCAGGAUGUCAGCGGUUCGAGUCCGCUUACCUCCACUGAUCACCACCUCUUCCAUAAUCGGUAGAAAGGAAAUUUUUUGAGUUGUGAUCAAAUUCUGAAAGAAUCUAGCUUCCUAAUGAAAUCAUUAAGAUGCUGGACUCAUUGAAUUAAUUUCAUUGUUUUCAGAGAACCUUGACAACUGCAUAGAUUAUUUUUAAAGACAAUAAGCAUCUUUAAUGAUGCAGAUUUAUUAUUUGUGCAAAUGCAUUAAUAACAAUUCUAUUAAGCUGAUGCUUCAAUAUUGAAGUUAUUGGUCAAGCUACAA
Molecule: unclassified non-coding RNA, 647 nt
Filed under: uncultured Prochlorococcus sp.
Lineage: Bacteria; Bacillati; Cyanobacteriota; Cyanophyceae; Synechococcales; Prochlorococcaceae
Description: partial 16S-23S ribosomal RNA intergenic spacer; may also contain 16S ribosomal RNA and 23S ribosomal RNA
Rfam family: tRNA (bases 306-378)
Source: RNAcentral